This 818-nucleotide ribosomal RNA is filed under the name Nocardioides sp. RNAcentral describes it as "bacterial SSU rRNA". It matches the Rfam family "Bacterial small subunit ribosomal RNA", at positions 55 to 889 of the family's 1533-position model. The record is from RNAcentral. Lineage: Bacteria; Bacillati; Actinomycetota; Actinomycetes; Propionibacteriales; Nocardioidaceae.
AUGCAGUCGAGCGGAAGGCCCUUCGGGGUACUCGAGCGGCGAACGGGUGAGUAACACGUGAGUAAUCUGCCCCAGGCUCUGGGAUAGCCACCGGAAACGGUGAUUAAUACCGGAUACGACAACUUCCUGCAUGGGAUGGUUGUGGAAAGUUUUUCGGCCUGGGAUGUGCUCGCGGCCUAUCAGCUUGUUGGUGAGGUAAUGGCUCACCAAGGCUUCGACGGGUAGCCGGCCUGAGAGGGUGACCGGCCACACUGGGACUGAGACACGGCCCAGACUCCUACGGGAGGCAGCAGUGGGGAAUAUUGGACAAUGGGCGGAAGCCUGAUCCAGCAACGCCGCGUGAGGGAUGACGGCCUUCGGGUUGUAAACCUCUUUCAGCACAGACGAAGCGCAAGUGACGGUAUGUGCAGAAGAAGGACCGGCCAACUACGUGCCAGCAGCCGCGGUAAUACGUAGGGUCCGAGCGUUGUCCGGAAUUAUUGGGCGUAAAGGGCUCGUAGGCGGUCUGUCGCGUCGGGAGUGAAAACCAGGUGCUUAACACCUGGCCUGCUUUCGAUACGGGCAGACUAGAGGUACUCAGGGGAGAAUGGAAUUCCUGGUGUAGCGGUGAAAUGCGCAGAUAUCAGGAGGAACACCGGUGGCGAAGGCGGUUCUCUGGGAGUAUCCUGACGCUGAGGAGCGAAAGUGUGGGGAGCGAACAGGAUUAGAUACCCUGGUAGUCCACACCGUAAACGUUGGGCGCUAGGUGUGGGAUCCAUUCCACGGGUUCCGUGCCGCAGCUAACGCAUUAAGCGCCCCGCCUGGGGGAGUACGGCCGC